GGGGCCGGCCUUACACAUGCAGGUCGACGGGCUCUUCGGAGCUAGUGGCGGACGGGUGAGUAACGCGUGAGAAUCUGGCUACAGGAUGGGGACAACAGUUGGAAACGACUGCUAAUACCCGAUGUGCCUUAGGGUGAAAGAUUUAUCGCCUGUAGAUGAGCUCGCGUCAGAUUAGCUAGUUGGUGGGGUAAGGGCCUACCAAGGCGAUGAUCUGUAGCUGGUCUGAGAGGAUGAUCAGCCACACUGGGACUGAGACACGGCCCAGACUCCUACGGGAGGCAGCAGUGGGGAAUUUUCCGCAAUGGGGGCAACCCUGACGGAGCAAGACCGCGUGAGGGAUGAAGGUCUGUGGAUUGUAAACCUCUUUUGAUAGGGAAGAAGUUCUGACGGUACCUAUCGAAUCAGCAUCGGCUAACUCCGUGCCAGCAGCCGCGGUAAUA
Molecule: ribosomal RNA, 440 nt
Filed under: uncultured Synechococcus sp.
Lineage: Bacteria; Bacillati; Cyanobacteriota; Cyanophyceae; Synechococcales; Synechococcaceae
Description: bacterial SSU rRNA
Rfam family: Bacterial small subunit ribosomal RNA
Source: RNAcentral